RNAcentral lists this ribosomal RNA (481 nucleotides) under uncultured bacterium. Its description in RNAcentral is "partial 16S ribosomal RNA". It matches the Rfam family "Bacterial small subunit ribosomal RNA", at positions 28 to 507 of the family's 1533-position model. The record is from RNAcentral.
GAUGAACGCUGGCGGCGUGCUUAACACAUGCAAGUCGAACGAAGCACUUUAUUUGAUUUCCUUCGGGACUGAUUAUUUUGUGACUGAGUGGCGGACGGGUGAGUAACGCGUGGGUAACCUGCCUUGUACAGGGGGAUAACAGUUGGAAACGGCUGCUAAUACCGCAUAAGCGCACGGCAUCGCAUGAUGCAGUGUGAAAAACUCCGGUGGUAUAAGAUGGACCCGCGUUGGAUUAGCUAGUUGGUGAGGUAACGGCCCACCAAGGCGACGAUCCAUAGCCGACCUGAGAGGGUGACCGGCCACAUUGGGACUGAGACACGGCCCAAACUCCUACGGGAGGCAGCAGUGGGGAAUAUUGCACAAUGGGCGAAAGCCUGACGCAGCGACGCCGCGUGAGCGAAGAAGUAUUUCGGUAUGUAAAGCUCUAUCAGCAGGGAAGAUAAUGACGGUACCUGACUAAGAAGCACCGGCUAAAUACGUG